Molecule: ribosomal RNA, 442 nt
Filed under: uncultured bacterium
Lineage: Bacteria
Description: partial 16S ribosomal RNA
Rfam family: Bacterial small subunit ribosomal RNA
Source: RNAcentral
CCUACGGGUGGCAGCAGUGGGGAAUAUUGGGCAAUGGGCGAAAGCCUGACCCAGCAACGCCGCGUGAAUGAAGAAGGCUUUCGGGUUGUAAACUUCUUUUGACAGGGAAGAGCAUCAGACGGUGCCUGUCUCCUCAGCCACGGCUAACUACGUGCCAUCAGCCGCGGUAAUACGUAGGUGGCAAGCGUUGUCCGGAUUUACUGGGUGUAAGGGGCGUGUAGCCGGGCUGACAAGUCAGAUGUGAAAUCCGGCGGCACAACCCCCGAACUGCAUUUGAAACUGUUGGUCUUGAGUAUCGGAGAGGCAGGCGGAAUUCCUAGUGUAGCGGUGAAAUGCGUAGAUAUUAGGAGGAACACCAGUGGCGAAGGCGGCCUGCUGGACGACAACUGACGGUGAGGCGCGAAAGCGUGGGGAGCAAACAGGAUUAGAUACCCGUGUAGUC